GGCCCAGUAGCAUAGUGGUUAUGCAUCUGCUCUGUUUAUAGAAGAACAUUUGGCAAUUCUGCAGACAAUGUGGGUUCGAAUCCCGCUUGGGCCC
Molecule: non-coding RNA, 94 nt
Organism: Mycena maculata
Lineage: Eukaryota; Fungi; Basidiomycota; Agaricomycetes; Agaricales; Mycenaceae
Source: the annotation of a GenBank genome assembly